UACGAAGGGGGCUAGCGUUGCUCGGAAUCACUGGGCGUAAAGGGUGCGUAGGCGGGUCUUUAAGUCAGGGGUGAAAUCCUGGAGCUCAACUCCAGAACUGCCUUUGAUACUGAGGAUCUUGAGUUCGGGAGAGGUGAGUGGAACUGCGAGUGUAGAGGUGAAAUUCGUAGAUAUUCGGCGGAACACCGGUGGCGAAGGCGACUCACUGGCCCGAUACUGACGCUGAGGCGCGAAAGCGUGGGGAGCAAACAGG
Molecule: ribosomal RNA, 253 nt
Filed under: uncultured bacterium
Lineage: Bacteria
Description: partial 16S ribosomal RNA
Rfam family: Bacterial small subunit ribosomal RNA
Source: RNAcentral